AAAUAAAUUGAGUUUGAUGAUGGCUCUGAAUGAACGCUGUCCAAAUGCUUGACACAUGCUAAUCGAACGGCAAAUCUUUUCUAGAUUCAAAUAUCUAAAUUAGAAGCAGUGGUGUACAGGUGAGUAAUAGAUUUUAUAAUUGCCUUAGAGUUAGGUAUAAAAUCCCUAAUAUUAACAAAGAAACAAAGCUUUGUGUUCGCUCUAAGAAUUUUUUAUCUCGUGUAUUAGUAGUUAAGGUAAACUAGAACUAGCUUUAUUGUAUACACGUAGUCGAAACUGAAAGGUUGAUCGAUCACAAUGUGGCCUGAACAAAGCCCAUGACAAAAGUAGCAGCAGUGAGGAAUAUUGGUCAAUAGCCUAACGGCUGAACCAGCAACUUGGAGGAAUGAAAAGCGAAAGCUAAUUGCAUUUACUUAAAAUUAAAUUUUAAGAGAGUGUCCCUUUUUAUUUAUAAAAAAUUGGAUGGCUUUUAAGAGAGUGGUCCCUUUUUAUUUUAAAAAUUUGAAAACCUUUUAAAGAGGAAGGGUCCAUUUUUUAUGUAGUUACUACUUUGUAGUUUAAAAUUCUAGAUAGAAUUAUGAUGAUGACAUUAUCUAUCUAUUAGUCUUGACCAAAUUACGUGCCAGCAGUCGCGGUAAUACGUAAAAGACAAGUGUUAUUCAUCUUUAUUGGGUUUAAAGAGUACCAAGACGGUUAAUAAAGCCCAAAAUACAUGAACACAGGGGACACAUUAACUAGAGUUAUAUGAAAGGAAGCACUAAAGUACUGUUGAGUGUAGAGAUAAAAUUCUAUCAUACCAGAUAAAGGCACAGAUUUAUGCGAAGGCAUCUUCUUAUGUAAUAACUGACGUUGUAGGACGAAGGCUUUUUAAGUGAAGAGGAUUAGAGACCCUUGUAAUCUAAGCAGAAAAUGAUGAAUGUCAUAGGUUUAAUAUAUUAUUGGGUCUAUAAAUGAAAGUGUAAGCAUUCCACCUCAAGAGUAAUUUGGCAACAUUGGAACUGAAAUCAUUAGACCGUUUCUGAAACCAGUAGUGAAGUAUGUUGUUUAAUUAGAUGAUACACAAAAAACCUUACCACAAUUUGAAUAUAUAUCUUUAAAGAUAUUUACAAGCGUUGCACGGCUGUCUUCAGUUAAUGUCGUGAGAUUUUGGUUAGUUCCAUAAAAUUAACGUAAACCCUCGUUUUAUUUAGAAAUAAAAUUUAGAUCUGUUUCAAUUGAUUUGAGAUAAGAAAAGGGACUAUGACAAGUCAUCAUGGCCAAAAUAUUGUGGGCUAUAGACGUGCCACAUAAGCCUUACAAAGGGAUGCUAAAUUGCGAAAUUAAGCUAAUCCCCUAAAAUUGGAUAUACAAUAAAAUGGAUUGUUGUCUGUAACUCGACUGCAUGAAAUAGGAAUUACUAGUAAUCGUGAAUAAGUAUGUCACGGUGAAUUUAUCUCAGCUAGGUACUAACAACUCGUCAGGCGCUGAAAUUAGUGUGUGCAAUAAGUUUGGUUACCGUUUUCUAUUAAUCUGGGUAAUUAGACCUAGAAUUUAAGAUAAGUAUAUCUUCGUAUGCAUGACUUUGAUGGGUGUUAAGUCGAAAUACGGUUCGUGUAGUGGAAGUUGCACGGGUUUAAUUAAUAUUA
Molecule: ribosomal RNA, 1625 nt
Filed under: Ricasolia amplissima
Lineage: Eukaryota; Fungi; Ascomycota; Lecanoromycetes; Peltigerales; Lobariaceae
Description: small subunit ribosomal RNA
Rfam family: Bacterial small subunit ribosomal RNA
Source: RNAcentral